Molecule: long non-coding RNA, 218 nt
Filed under: Sorghum bicolor (sorghum)
Lineage: Eukaryota; Viridiplantae; Streptophyta; Magnoliopsida; Poales; Poaceae
Description: long non-coding RNA (SBIC_LNC011931)
Source: RNAcentral
GAUGAACAAUAUAACUUUUAUGUUCAUGACUUCUUCAGCCGAAAUCGUUGAUGUUUCAAAAUAUUGUUCGAAGUUGUCAUUUUUUAAAUUCCAAUUUUGAAAUAUACACAAGAAAAGAUAAUCAAAAGAAUAGCAGUAAAAACUUAAUAUCUUGAGAGACCAUAAUUUUAGAAAAAAUAGAAAAAAAAGUCCCAUCACAUUUGGAGUUAGUAUGAGGG